Molecule: RNA transcript, 7783 nt
Organism: Homo sapiens (human)
Lineage: Eukaryota; Metazoa; Chordata; Mammalia; Primates; Hominidae
Gene name: putative ankyrin repeat domain-containing protein 20A12
Exons: 6
Source: RefSeq, a predicted model, not a curated record
UUUAAGGGUUCACAUUUGAAGAAUCUGCUGCAUUACAGAUAACAUUUUAUUGCAAGUAAAUGCAUUUCAAAAUUUGCUAUUGGUUUUGUAUUAGAUUAUUCUCAGCCUACUUCAUUAUCAAGCUAUACUAUUUUAUUCAUGCAGUUUGAUGAUCUUAUGGCGGAGAAGGAAGCUGUAUCUUCAAAAUGUGUCAAUUUGGCUAAAGAGAAUCAAGUUUUUCAACAGGAGUUAUUAUCUAUGAAAAAAGUACAACAGGAAUGUGAAAAACUUGAGGAGGAUAAAAAGAUGUUGGAAGAAGAAAUAUUAAAUCUUAAGACACAUAUGGAAAACAGUAUGGUAGAACUUAGUAAACUACAAGAAUAUAAAUCAGAGCUAGAUGAAAGGGCAAUGCAGGCAGUAGAAAAAUUAGAAGAAAUCCAUUUACAGGAACAAGCACAAUAUAAAAAACAAUUAGAGCAGUUAAACAAGGAUAUAAUACAGCUUCACUAAAUAAGAAGGAACUCACACUUAAAGAUGUGGAAUGUAAAUUCUACAAAAUGAAAACUGCUUAUGAAGAGGUUACAACUGAGUUAGAAGAAUAUAAGGAAGCCUUUGCAGCAGCAUUGAAAGCUAACAGUUCCAUGUCUAAAAAAUUAACUAAAUCGAAUAAGAAAAUAGCAAUGAUCAGUAUCAGCUCUUUAUGGAGAAAGAGCAGGUGAAAUAUUUUCUCAGCACUCUUCCUACAAGGCGAGGUCGAGAGUCACCUUGUGUUGAAAAUCUUACUAGUAUAGGACUCAACAGAAAAUAUAUUCUCCAAAUGCCCGUAAGAAUUCCUACUUCAAACCUCAGACUUCAAAUAACUGCCAGAACUACUUGACUGAGCUGUUGCUGUAUUGGACACUUGCUCCCAUCUACUUUCUUCUCUAGAAUCCACGGAAGAUGUUCUAAGCUCAGCUUGUAUUUUCUCUGCGCCAGCUCUGGAAUGAGUCAUUUUUUUUAGAAGCAGAGGUGGAGCCACUGAGGAAGCACAGACUCCCAUGGUGGUGGGUUGUGUCACCCCAGAAUGUCACUGUUGCUGAGUCCCCAUCGCCUCUGUGUUGUGGAGCAGUUAGAGACACACAGCAGUGUCUGUGAGUAGCUCUGCGUGAAGGACCAUUUUCUAGAUGAGAGGCACAUCUCAACACAGCUCACUGAUCAGAUUCAGGUGAGUGGGACCUGCUCUUUUCUCUUCCUUCUGGCUUGGGAAAAGUCACUAUCAGGUGGAUGGUUUUGGUCUCUGGGCAGCUACUGAGGGUAAUCCCUGAACACUCACCAGCUGCCUGUUAUGUGCUGACAGUCAUCUCAUUCAUCCUCGCAGCAAUUCCAUUCUGCAUCUUUUCUGAUCACCUCCGUGACCACACAGGACAACCCCAUCAGGGCCCUGUCACCAGGCCCAGUCUAGCUCCAUGAUAACCAAGACACAGGCCCAGAGACAAUCGUCCUACAUUGUGCCUGCAUCUGACACCCCUUGGUAGGUAGUGACCAGCACAACAUGGAAGAAGCCAGGGCAGCAUGCAGCCAGCUGCUCUGCAGCCCCAAAUGGCUCCUGGGCCUUGGGAAGUCACUCAUAAAGGGGAAGCUGGUCACUUUGAGGUCCCUGAAGGGAAGGGUGAACGUGCAUCCCAACAGCCCUGGCAGCCAGCAGCAUGCCAUACAUAUUCUCACCCAACGUGUGUGACAGAGGUCCCCUCCUGGGGCACAAGUCCCAUACCUAAAGCAUCCUGUCCCAGUCGGACCUCAUCCUGAGCCCUGGGAGGGGAGGGGGACCAUGGGCCCCCCUGCAGCAGCCAGGAUUACCACCCAGGGGACUCGGCCUUCUGUGGCCCUGGCCAGACUUAGAAUUUGGCCCAAGACAAACUUACUCGGAGCAGCUUCUCAGUACCUGGGGCCUGUGCAUACCAGGCAAGGCCAAGCUGGCUCAAAGAGCAACCAGCCACCUCUGCAAGGGUAUGCCAGUAGCAGGUGGAGCAGUCACCAACCUCACGCACUCAAGGAAACAGGGAUGGCCAGUUUCCCACAGUCUGAGUGACCACCACCUGACAGCUGAUGGAGUGGAGGCCUGAGGAAAAGCAGAUGGCACUGGGGCUCCACCUCCAGGGCAGAAUAACUGAUUUACCCUGACUGGCAGGGAGUGACGUUGGUGGCUGGUCCACUGGCUCCUGGCACACCCUUGCAGAGGUGGGUGGUUGCUCUUUGAGCCAGCUUGGCUUUGCCUGGCAUGCACAGGUCUCAGUGCAACAAAUGUGCUGCAAAUGGAGCCACAUAGAGGAAAUGAGCAGCAGGCUCAGAACUGGGGUGUGUGCCGCCUUUGGGGCUCCAGUCCAAGCAUCGGGGCUUCUACAGCACUGUGGGCUUCUCGGGUGCCAAGAGGCAGACCACAGGCCAUCUUGAGGAGGACUCUGGUAAGAGCUUCCUUGUGUACGUGGAUGAUGUCCAGAAUGUUGACCUGGUGUCCCUGAGACAGCACUAACAGGUCCAUGACUGGGUCCAGAUCCUGCCUGGGCUGAUGGGCAAAGAGCUCACUGACAGUGUGGAAGGCAUCUAUGGUGAAGUGGAUCUAUGUUCAAGUGCAGAAAGGGCCCAAUCUUGCAGAUGAACCACACAGCCAGCUUCUGGAUGCAGGUGCAGUGCCACAUUUUUUGUCACUUCCUGAUGUGCCCCACCAGCACUGAAGAGAUAGCCUGGAGACAGGGCAAGAGGAAGGCUGAGAAGGAUGAGAUGGUGAGUGCCAGAUUCUUCCUGGCCCUGAGCCCACCCCCAGUGUGACACUCAACUUUUAGGAGUGGGAGAGCAAGAUUGAUGGCUUCAAGUGCUUCAUCAAGAAGAUGGACAACAGGGCACUCAGGUCAACUUCACAGCCAAUGAGUGGUGGCAGGCUUUGAGAAAGAGCAUCAGAAGCCUGACAGUUCUUCUUCAGCCUCAGCCAGGCCUUGGAGCUGGACCAGGCCAUCCACUUCAGUAUAGAUGCCUUCCACUCUGUCAGUGAGCUCUUUGCCAGUCAGUCCAGGAAGGACCUGGACCCAGCCAUGGACCUGUUAGUGCUGUCUCAGGGACACAAGACAAACAUCCUGGACAUCAUUCACAUACACAAGGAAGCUCUUACCAAAGUCACGGAGAACAGACAACAUGUGGCAGAAGGGAAGACAGAGGUGCAGAGGCUGAUGGAGUCAUUAUCACAGGAACAGGAUUUCUUUGGCCACUUUGGCUGAAAUUCACCACUUCCAUCCAAUUCACUCAAGUGAGAGACUUGAAAUCACAGAUGGAGCAUUUCUUGCAACAAGAGAUACUAUUUUUUCAAAAAGUCACCUAAAAUUUGAUAGUGUUGAAUGACUAGCUAUUCGAGUGUGGACUUUUUCCAGUUCACGGGUACUUUCUACAGCAGAAUGAUAACAGUAUCAAAGAGCUGGUGCCAGCUAUCGGUGGUAGUACAAGGAUGACUUUGUGCUCAACUGAAACCCAGCUGAAUAUAGAAUUGUGUACGAAAGUGUUAAUAUGGUGAUAGAAUAGAAACAGUAGCAAAUGAACUAAAUCAUACUAUGAAUGCCUACACUACCAUUAUAACUUUUUGAAGAAUGAUAAUACCACUUACUUUAUUGCCUUUUGAAGUAGGAAUAUUUUAGUGGAUAUUCUAUAGAUCUGAAACCCUAUAAAGAAUCCCAAAGAAGCUGGCUGGAUAAAGCCUGCUAUGGAUGUCUUUAUACUCAAAGACUGAUGAGGCAAUUCGAAUAUGUGUCCCCACCAAAUCUCUUGUUGAAUUAUGCUUCCUAAUGUUGGAGGUGGAUCCUGGUAUAAGGUGAUUGAAUCAUGAAGGCAAAUUUCUCAUGAGUGGUUCAGCACCAUCCCCUUGGUACUGUCCUCACAAUCAUGAGUGACUUCUCGUGAGAUCUGGCCACUGAAAACUCUAUAUCACUCCCUACUCUCCGUGAUUUCCUCUUGCCAUGUGAGACAAUUCACUCUUUCAUUACCUUGCACAAUGAUUGAAAGAUUUCUGAGGCCCCCCAGAAGCAGAAGCACUAAGCUUCCUGUCCACUCUGCAGAACCAUGAGCCAAUUAAACCUCUUUUUCAAGAUAAAUCUUACCAAAAAUGUCAAAUGAGGACUGGAGCACUGCUAUAAAGAUACCUAAAAAUGUGGAAGCAACUUCGGAACUGGGUAAUGGGUAGAGGUUGGAAGAGUUUGGAGGGCUCCAAAGAAGACAGAUGAGAACAUUUUUGGAUCAUCUUAGAGACUGGUUAAAUGGCUGUGACAAGAAUGCUGACAAAAACAUGGACAGUGAAGGCCAGGCUGAGGGGGCCUCAGAUAAAAAUAAGAAGCUUUCUGGAAAAUGUCUCUCUUUUGGAUAUGGAAAGCUUACACAAUGCCUGUACCAUCAUUGUACCUUAGACGCAGUGAACUUGCUUUUUAUUUCAGAGACUUGUAGGCAAAAGAGAAUGUAGCCUUGACCCAGAUGAGACUUUGCACUUUGUAACUUUGAGUUAAUGCUGAAAUGAGUUAAGACUUUGGGAGACUGCUGGCAAGGCAUGACUGUAUCUUGCAAUGUGAGAAGGACAUGAGAUUUGUGGGGUCAGGGACAGAAUAAUACGGUUUUUCUCUAUGCCCCUUCCAAAGCUCAUGUGAAAGUACACUCCCUAAUGUUAGAGUCGGGGCCUAGGUGGAAAAAGCUUUAAUCAUAAAAAGUGGGAGUGGAUCCUUCACAAAUGGCAAAGCACCAAGCCCUUAAUGCCAUCCUCCUGAUAGUGAGUGAGUUCUCAUGAGAUCUAGUAGUUUAAAAGGCUGUGGAACCUCUUUCCUCUCUCUGUCUUGUUCCAACUUCUGCCAUAUGAAACAUGUCAUUGCCGCUUGGAUUUCCAGUGUGGUUAGGAGGGGCCUGAUCAGUGUGGGCCUGGUCCGUGGACCUAGGUCAGUGAGGACUAUUUAGUGGGAUAGUGGUCAGCAGGGGUCUGCUUAGAGAGGGUCUCAUUAGUGGGGUCUAGUAGUGGGGGUUUUGGUGAGUGGGGACCUAUUGGCUGCCAGUUGUUUGGUGUCUGGUCAGUGCAAACCUGGGCUGUGGGGCUUGAUCAGUGGAGACCUGGUCAGCUGGGGCUUAGUGCUGGUCUGGUCAGCAUGGGCUGGGGCACUGGUGACCAGGUCAAGGGGUGCUACUCAGUGCAGGACGGGGCACAUGGGACCUAGUCAGCAGACCCUGGUGGGCGUGUCCUCAUCAGUGAGGCCCUUGUCAGUGGGGCCCUGGUCAGGGCAGCCUUGUCGGCGGGACCUAAUCUGUAGUGUCCUGGUCAGAGAGGACUUGGUCAGUGGUGACUUUUGUAGCACCGGUCUACAGGGUGACUUGGUCAGCGGGAAUCUCAGCAUUUGGUGCCGGUUCAGUGGGGUCUACUCACUAGGGUCCCAGUCAGGGGCAUCUGGUGACAUAAGGCCUCAUUAUUAGGGGCCUGAUCAGUGGCAACCUGUUCCCUGGAGGCCUGGUCAGUGGGGCCUCAUCUUUGGGCCAGGGAAUGAGUUCAUGAUCAGUGGAACCUGAUCAGUGAGGCCUUGUCAAUAAUGACCUAGUCAGUGAGGACUUGUCAGUAAGGACAUAGUCCAUGAGGCCUUGUCAGUGAGUCCUUGUCAGUAAGGUCCUGGUCAGUGGAGUCCUUGUCAUUGUGUGCCCGGCAGUGGGGGCCUUGUUAGUGGGGCCUGGUCAUGAGGGUCUAAUCAGUGAGGGUGUCAUCAGGGAGGACCUGAUGUGCAGGGUCUGGUCAGCAGGGACCUGGUCAAUGUGGGCUGCUGAGCACUGCUUGGAUAAGCCAGGUGCAAUGUGCAUUAUUGAAGGCCCUGUGGACAGCUGGGAUAGCCCAGUGAUGCCCAAGGGCCUAGUCAAAAGUGGACAAAGCACAUAUUUGGAUGGACCUGGGAGAUCCUGCUCAGAGAUUCUGACAGGACAAAGGUAAAGGAAGGGCCAGAGUGGCUGGAGAGAUGGUCACAGUCUAUGGGCUGCACAGGAUGGAGGAGGCUGGGGAACAGGCAGGGUGGGCAGUUGGGGUUCAGGGAGAGGCAGGUGCAUGCUGGGAGGUCAGACCCUGUGAGGGCUUUGGGGGCGUCAGGUUGGGUAGGCUCCAGGCACUCUCACUCACAUAGGAUUCCAGAACACUGCUACAAGGCUCUGAGUGUUUGUCCCUCACAUAGGAUUCCAGAACACUGCUGCCAUUGUCUGAAUGUUUGUCCUCCACAUAGGAUUCCAGAAGUCUGCUGCUGGGGUCUGAAUGUUUGUCCCCCAUCUAGGAUUCCAGAACACUGCUGUGAGGGUCUGAAUGUAUGUCCCUCACAUAUGAUUCUAGAAUAUUGAUGCUAGGGUCUGUAUGUUUGCCCUUAACAUAUGAUUUCAAAACACUGCUCCUGGAUUCUGAAUGUUUGUCCUUCUCAUAGGAAUACAGAACACUGCUGCUGGAGUCUGAAUGUUUGUCACUCACAUAGAAUUCCAGAACACUGCUGCGAGGAUCUGAAUGUUUGACCCUCACAUGGGAUUCCAGAACACUGCUGCGAGGGUCUAAAUGCCUGUCCCUCACAUAGGUUUCCAGCACAAUGUUACGAGGUUCUGAAUGUUUGUCCCUAACAUAGGAUUCCAGAGCACUCCUGCUGUGCUCUGAAUGCUUCUCCCUCACAUAGGAUUCCAGAACACUGCUAUGAGGGUCUGAAUGCUUAUACCUCAUAUAGGAUUCCAGAACACUCCUGCUGUGGUCUGAAUGUUUGUUCCUCACAUAGGAUUCCAGAACACUCCUGCCGUGGUCUGAAUGUUUGUCACUCACAUAGGAUUCCAGAACAUUCAUGCUGGGGUCUCAAUGUUUCCCUUAACAUAGGAUUUCAGAACACUGCUCUUGGGGUCUGCAUGUUUGUCCCUCACAUAGGAUUACAGAACACUGCUGCUGGAGUCUGAAUGUUUGUCAGUCACAUAGAAUUCCAGAACACUGCUACAAGGGUGUGAAUAUUUUUCCCUCACCUAGUAUUCCAGAACACUGUUGCAAGGGUCUGCACGUUGGUCCGUCAUAUAGGAUUCCAGAACACUGCUGCUGUGGUCUGAAUGUUUGUCCCUCACAUAAAAUUCUGGAACACUGCUACAAGGGUCUGAAUGUUUGUCCUUCACAUACCAUUCCAGAACACUGCUGCCGUGGUCUGAAUGUAUGUCCCUCACAUAGGAUUCCAGAACACUGCUACUAGGUUCUGAAUGUUUUUCCCACACCUAGGAUUCCAGAACACUUCUGCUGGUGUCUGAAUGGUUGUCCCUCACAUAUGAUUCCAGGACACUGCUAUGAGAGUCUUAAUGUUUGUCCUUCACAUAGAAUUCCAGAACACUGCUCCCGUGGUCUGAAUGUUUGUCCCUCACAUAGGAUUCCACAACACUACUGCUGGGGUCUGAAUGUUUGGCCCUCACAUAGGAUUCUAGAACACUCCAGCUGGCUUCUGAGUGUUUGUCCCUCACAUAGGAUUCCUGAAGACUGCUGCUGUCGCUAUAGUCGUUGAGAGUGUCUGAAUGUUUGACCUUCACCAAACACCAAAUAUCCUGGCCCUUUAGUCUUGUACUUUCCAGCCUCCAGAUCUGUGAACAAUAAUCUCUGUUGUUUAUGAAUUACUCAGUCUGAAGUAUUUUGUUAUAGUAGCCUAAAGAGACUAAGAGAGCAUCACCUGCCCUGUCACCUCAUCACCGCAUUACUGAAGCUAUACUAACAACAGUCACUUUUAGUGGGUACUUCAUGCAUCAGAAUAAAGGGAAAAAAUUGCAAGGCUUACUAAAA